GACGAACGCUGGCGGCGUGCUUAACACAUGCAAGUCGAACGGAAAGGCCCUGCUUUUGUGGGGUGCUCGAGUGGCGAACGGGUGAGUAACACGUGAGUAACCUGCCCUUGACUUUGGGAUAACUUCAGGAAACUGGGGCUAAUACCGGAUAGGAGCUCCUGCUGCAUGGUGGGGGUUGGAAAGUUUCGGCGGUUGGGGAUGGACUCGCGGCUUAUCAGCUUGUUGGUGGGGUAGUGGCUUACCAAGGCUUUGACGGGUAGCCGGCCUGAGAGGGUGACCGGCCACAUUGGGACUGAGAUACGGCCCAGACUCCUACGGGAGGCAGCAGGGGGGAAUAUUGCACAAUGGGCGGGAGCCUGAUGCAGCAACGCCGCGUGCGGGAUGACGGCCUUCGGGUUGUAAACCGCUUUCGCCUGUGACGAAGCGUGAGUGACGGUAAUGGGUAAAGAAGCACCGGCUAACUACGUG
Molecule: ribosomal RNA, 468 nt
Filed under: uncultured bacterium
Lineage: Bacteria
Description: partial 16S ribosomal RNA
Rfam family: Bacterial small subunit ribosomal RNA
Source: RNAcentral